Molecule: long non-coding RNA, 341 nt
Filed under: Glycine max (soybean)
Lineage: Eukaryota; Viridiplantae; Streptophyta; Magnoliopsida; Fabales; Fabaceae
Description: long non-coding RNA (GMAX_LNC000802)
Source: RNAcentral
CAACAAUAUCAAAUUGCUCCCUUCUCUUCCUCUUCCUCUUCCUCUCCACCCUCCACAUAGCUUCCACCCUCUCAACCCCCACCAACUUCAUCAAGUCCUCCUGCAGCACCACCCAGUACCCAGCCCUCUGCAUCCAGUCCCUCUCCGUCUACGCCUCCACCAUCCAGCAAGACCCCCACGAGCUCGUCCAGACAGCCCUCUCCCUCUCCCUCAACCACACCGAGGCCACCAAAACCUUCGUCGCAAAAUGCAACAAAUUCAGAGGCCUCAAACCGAGAGAAUACGCUGCCUUGAAGGACUGCGCUGAAGAAAUCAGUGACAGCGUCGACCGGCUCAGCCGG